GAUGAACGCUAGCGGCAGGCUUAACACAUGCAAGUCGAGGGGCAGCAUAUUUUGUAGUAAUACAAGGUGAUGGCGACCGGCGCACGGGUGCGUAACGCGUAUGCAACCUACCAUAUACAGGGGGAUAAACUUUCGAAAGGGAGCCUAAUACCCCAUAGUAUUAUUUUUAGGCAUCGGAGAAUAAUUAAAGAUAAAUUGGUAUAUGAUGGGCAUGCGUGUGAUUAGCUAGUUGGUAAGGUAUCGGCUUAGCAAGGCGACGAUGACUAGGGGUUCUGAGAGGAAGAUCCCCCACACUGGUACUGAGACACGGACCAGACUCCUACGGGAGGCAGCAGUGAGGAAUAUUGGUCAAUGGGCGAGAGCCUGAACCAGCCAUGCCGCGUGCAGGAAGACGGCCCUAUGGGUUGUAAACUGCUUUUAUGUGAGGAUAAACCUAUUCUUGCGAGAGUAGCUGAAGGUAUCACAUGAAUAAGGAUCGGCUAACUCCGUGCCAGCAGCCGCAGUAA
Molecule: ribosomal RNA, 506 nt
Filed under: uncultured bacterium
Lineage: Bacteria
Description: partial 16S ribosomal RNA
Rfam family: Bacterial small subunit ribosomal RNA
Source: RNAcentral